GACGAACGCUGGCGGCGUGCUUAACACAUGCCAGUCGAACGGAAAGGCCCCUUUGGGGGUACUCGAGUGGCGAACGGGUGAGUAACACGUGAGUAACCUGCCCUUGACUUCGGGAUAACUUCAGGAAACUGGGGCUAAUACCGGAUAGGAAUCCUUGCUGCAUGGUGGGGGUUGGAAAGCUUCGGCGGUUUUGGAUGGACUCGCGGCUUAUCAGCUUGUUGGUGGGGUAGUGGCUUACCAAGGCUUUGACGGGUAGCCGGCCUGAGAGGGCGACCGGCCACAUUGGGACUGAGAUACGGCCCAGACUCCUACGGGAGGCAGCAGUGGGGAAUAUUGCACAAUGGGCGGAAGCCUGAUGCAGCAACGCCGCGUGCGGGAUGACGGCCUUCGGGUUGUAAACUGCUUUCAGCAGGGGCGAAGCUUUUGUGACGGUACCUGCAGAAGAAGCACCGGCUAACUACGUG
Molecule: ribosomal RNA, 464 nt
Filed under: uncultured bacterium
Lineage: Bacteria
Description: partial 16S ribosomal RNA
Rfam family: Bacterial small subunit ribosomal RNA
Source: RNAcentral